UUAUUGUUGCACAAAUGACAACUAAUCCUUCAAGAAGCAAACAUAAAAAAAAAAAUAUUUUCUACAAAAUCUACUGUCAUUACUUCUCUCCAUUUAGUAUAAGUGAACUCUACCCUUACUCAGAUGCGUUUUCCAAAUGCAUCAGAUAGGUAUGUCUAACUUCAUAAAACGUUUUCCAAUCGUAGCAAAUUUGACUACUGCAAGAAUCGUCCUAUGCUUCGGGCCUUGCCGAAAGUAAGAAUAGUUUUUCUUCUUUUAUCGUCCAUGAAUUCGAAAUAUGUCAAAUUCAUUGCGGCUCGUACUUGCCAUGAUUACCUCAGCUUGAACAAAGAAUAUUUUGAUCAGCGCACAUAAGGGAACGUCGUCUUCCUUACUCAGAUGCGUUUUCCAAAUGCAUCAGAUAGGUAUGUCUAACUUCAUAAAACGUUUUCCAAUCGUAGCAAAUUUGACUACUGCAAGAAUCGUCCUAUGCUUCGGGCCUUGCCGAAAGUAAGAAUAGUUUUUCUUCUUUUAUCGUCCAUGAAUUCGAAAUAUGUCAAAUUCAUUGCGGCUCGUACUUGCCAUGAUUACCUCAGCUUGAACAAAGAAUAUUUUGAUCAGCGCACUGCUUUGAAUAUCCCAUAUGCUGCAACUUCAGAAACAUGGUGAUUUGGCAUCUAAGGAUUUACAUUGCAAUCACUCAAGAACUGAUUUUGUAGGUUCAGAAACUUCCUCCAAGAACUUUUGUAUUUA
This 732-nucleotide long non-coding RNA is filed under the name Olea europaea (common olive). Its description in RNAcentral is "long non-coding RNA (OEUR_LNC009751)". Lineage: Eukaryota; Viridiplantae; Streptophyta; Magnoliopsida; Lamiales; Oleaceae. The record is from RNAcentral.